UGGGAUUUCGGAAUUUUGAAAAAGCGAAUAAUGAAAAUAUGGAGACUUCAACAUGAAAAUUAUUGACGGAGACUUCAAGAGACAAAGCAAUUAAAAAUUGUCUCUUUAAUGUCCAUUCAACAUAAGAAAAAAGAAAAAGAAAAUGAAUAAUAGAGAUUGGAGACAUACAACUAUCACACAUAUUUCUUGUAGAAAAAAAACAUCACCAAGAUUUGAGCUUACACCGCUUGUUAAGAGAGGUCCCUAUCUUAUUUGUUGCUCAUAUUGUUUUUGUUUCGAUAGGCUGGAGGUACUAAUAGUUGUUCUAUAUUUUUGGGCCCUUUUAAUUUGAAGGCCUUGUGUGAUUGCCCACACUUCAUAGGCCAAGAACGGCCUCUGGUGUGGGACAUUACGCUAUUUGUUUGAUUGUACUACUUUAAUUUACUAUCAGAAUAUGUGAGUCUUCCCGCAGGUAUUUGCAUGUUUAGUCGAUCAUAGGUCCCAAGAGCUCAAGCAAAAAUAUUGCUGAUUAAAAUCGGACCUCAUUCUAUAGUAUCAAAAGUGCUCUGCAUGUCUAACUUGAUCUAAUGUUUUGUAGAAAAGUUUUUCCUUCCAUAAAAUUUGACUAAUUCUUGACAUAUCAUAAUAUUAUGCAUGAUGUAUGUUUGUGGGUAGAGAAAAUAUGUUUGGGGGUCGAAAUUUGGGAUAGUAAAGUGGAGAGAAGAUGUUUGAUAUUGGUUUCUUAUGAGCUAUGAAGAGCGUAAGUGGAGGAUUUGAAGCAAUCGGAAAGAUUGUAGUUUAUUGUUACUUCAAGAGAAGCUGAAGUAUCCUGCAAGAAUAGUAGCAUAAUCAAGAAAGGCAACAUGAUGAACUGCAGAAAGCCGUCCUCCAAGUUUUCUCGUCACCAUGGCAAGAAAAAAUGGCGAACAGCUGAAGGUAGUGAUUCAGGAAAACAAGAGAAGAUAAUGUGAGGUCCUUGUUCGGACUCUCAGGCAUGCGUACUCGAUCUAUGGAUGAAAUCAUGGGGAUUGAAUCGUUGGAUUUUGGGUUAGGAAUUCGAGACCCUCUUACUCUUACUUCAUCAAUCCAAGAGUUACAGAAGCAAUUUGAAAUUCGGCACACGUUUAAUGAAUGGCUUCAAUCCAUUCAUGACAGUGCAAUUAAUCGAUCAAUUGUUACACCGGACAAUGGAACAAUAACAUCUCGAGAUUUUCGCAACAGUCGUCAAGCCACACUCGGUGAACUUACUUCAGAGAUUGCUACCUGAUUCACUGCCGGGACACUCAACAUCGAGUAAGUUUAAAGCAUGUUUUCUUCAAUAUUUUGACCUUUAAAAAACGGAACCAAUUAUCUAGUUACUUCUUUUUUCUUUUUUUUAUACCUUCUGUUUCCUCUUUAUGUGACAACUCCAUUGGUUGAUGGUAAUGGUUACCAUUCCCUUUUCAUUUCAAGGCUUGAAUCAGACAUCCAAUAAAGGUAAUAAGUUUUGUUACCAUUCCCUUCCUCUAUUUGGUUCCAUUCCAUGACUUGAACCAAACAUGCUCUCGAUGUCUCUUAACUCUAGUUGAGUUGUGAGCGAGGGGGAAUAUGAUUUAAGUUAUGAUGUGUGGUCUCUUGAUACUAGAUCGUUCCAUCAUAUGCUGGGUCAGGGGCGGGGCUACCAUUAUCGAGACUUUAUUUAAAUUCUCACAUUUGGGCCCUUCACAAGUACUUAAAAUAAGUACAUAAUUUUAUCAACAAAAAAGUUCAAUAAACUAUAAUAUUAAGGAUUAAAUCAUUAAAAUUGAGUAGUAAAAGAACCGUCUUUUCAACUUCUAUUGUGAGUAUACUGGUUCAAAUUCAAAUAAAUAACUCAAUUAUAUAGUUGAAUUGUUAAUAAUGGCUAUUAAUAUGACUUUUUAUUGGGAAAUGAUGACAUUAAUGAGAAUUUAUAUUUAUAAUUUCGGAUGGAAGUAAACAUUUUGGGAUUUUGGAAUUUGGAAAAAGCGAAGAAUGAAAAUAUGGAGACUUCAAAAUGAAAAUUGACGGAGACUUCAAGAGACAAAAAGCAAUUAAAGAUUGUCUCUUUAAUGUCCAUUCAACAUAAGAAAAAAGAAAAAGAAAAUGAAUAAGAGAGAUUGGAGACAUACAACUGUCAGAUAUAUUUCUUGUAGAAAAAAACAUCACCAAGAUUUGAGCUUACACCGCUUGUCAAGAGAGGUUCCUAUCUUAUUUGCUGCUCAUAUUGUUUUUGUUUCGAUAUGCUGCAAGUACUAGUACUUGUUCUAUAUUUUUGGGCCCUUUUAAUUUGAAGGCUUGUGUGAUUCCCCACACUUCAUAGGCCAAGAACGACUUCUGUGGUGGGACAUUACGCCAUUUGUUUGAUUGUACUGCUUUAAUUUACUAUCAGAAUAUGUGAGUCUUCCCGCGGGUAUUUGCAUGUUUAGUCGAUCAUAAGUCCCAAGAGCUCAAGCAAAAAUAUUGAUCAUUAAAGUCGGACCUCAUCUAUAUAUAUAUCUAAAGAAGAAUCCUUCAGACCACGUGUCGCAAAGUUAGAGAUUUCAAUCCCACGUGGCAUGACGUGGCAUGCUCCGUUGAUCAGUAUUUUUUUGAAGCUCAAUUAGAGUGUCCAAGUGUCAAGGCAAUCAAAGAAUAUGAAAUUCCCUUAAUCACGCAUAUUCCUUCCCUUAAAUCACCCAUAUAUAAUUGAUUCAGUAAUCUAUAUAAAUGACGUCAAUUACAGAUUUUAAUUGAUACGUAAUAUAUAUAAUUAAGGAACAGUAACAUUUCCAUGUCCGAUUUAUUCCUUCCCUGAAUUUAUUCUUUCUAAUUUUAUGUACAUCCGAUUUUGCCUAUCUAAUUCAUAUAUAUGGUAGUGAAAUCAAAAUAUCAAUCAAGGAUGAUUUCCAUGUCCAUGAUUUCCGCUAAUUAUACACAUUUCCACUGAAUAUGUAUUGAAGCUUAUUGCAUACAUUUUGGCAUGGAAUUGAUAUAAAUAGGGUCAAUUGAAAUCUAUGAAUCAUUUUAGAAACCACCACAAUGCACAAUAGAACUGAAAUAAUGCUCGACCACAGUGGCACGCAGAGAAGCAACAACAACAACAACAAUCCAACUGCAACAGCUAUACAUUGGAAGCAAACGACGACAGUGGAAGAUGAGAGAUAAAAUUCAGAAGCACCAAGUCAGUAACAGCAGCAAUGCAACUGUAGGUAGUCCACGAAGAAGAGGAAAGAGAAAAUCCACGAGCACCACAUCAGGAGCAGCAUAGAUUAAUGAUAGAGUUCAUCUAAACAUUGGAAUUUAGAAGCAAACCACGGUGGAAGAAGAGAGAGGGCAUUCAAAUAAACUAUAUUUUUGUACUUAAUGUAAAAGUUUUAGAUUUGGAAUAAAUGCAUAAUUUACAUUUAUAAACUUUUAUGUACCUUCUAUAAAACUGAUGUUGGAGGGUUCAUAC
Beta vulgaris subsp. vulgaris (sugar beet) is the source of this 3412-nucleotide long non-coding RNA. RefSeq lists it as uncharacterized. The transcript is spliced from 3 exons. The record is from RefSeq and is a predicted model, not a curated record. Lineage: Eukaryota; Viridiplantae; Streptophyta; Magnoliopsida; Caryophyllales; Amaranthaceae.